UGCAGUCGAGCGGAUGAAGNRGAGCUUGCUCCCUGAUUCAGCGGCGGACGGGUGAGUAAUGCCUAGGAAUCUGCCUGGUAGUGGGGGACAACGUCUCGAAAGGGACGCUAAUACCGCAUACGUCCUACGGGAGAAAGCAGGGGACCUUCGGGCCUUGCGCUAUCAGAUGAGCCUAGGUCGGAUUAGCUAGUUGGUGAGGUAAUGGCUCACCAAGGCGACGAUCCGUAACUGGUCUGAGAGGAUGAUCAGUCACACUGGAACUGAGACACGGUCCAGACUCCUACGGGAGGCAGCAGUGGGGAAUAUUGGACAAUGGGCGAAAGCCUGAUCCAGCCAUGCCGCGUGUGUGAAGAAGGUCUUCGGAUUGUAAAGCACUUUAAGUUGGGAGGAAGGGCAGCUAAUUAAUACUUCGCUGUUUUGACGUUACCGACAGAAUAAGCACCGGCUAACUCUGUGCCAGCAGCCGCGGUWAUACAGAGGGUGCAAGCGUUAMUCGGAAUUACUGGGCGUAAAGCGCGCGUAGGUGGUYUGUUAAGUUGAAUGUGAAAUYCCCGGGCUCNAACCUGGGAACUGCAUCCAMAACUGGCAAGCUAGAGUAGGGCAGAGGGUGGUGRAAUUUCCUGUGUAGCGGUGAAAUGCGUAGAUAUAGGAAGGAACACCAGUGGCGAAGGCGACNACCUGGGCUCAUACUGACACUGAGGUGCGAAAGCSURGGGAGCAAACAGGAUUAGAUACCCUGGUAGUCCACGCCGUAAACGAUGUCAACUAGCCGUUGSWAGCCUUGAGCUKUNAGUKGCGCAGCUAACGCNAUUAAGUUGACCGCCUGGSGAGUACGGCCGCAASGYUAAAACUCAAAUGAAUUGACGGRSGCSCGCACAAGCRNUGGAGCAUGURGUUUAWNUUCGAWGCAACGCGAAGAACCUUACCWRSYCUUGACAUC
Molecule: ribosomal RNA, 940 nt
Filed under: Pseudomonas lutea
Lineage: Bacteria; Pseudomonadati; Pseudomonadota; Gammaproteobacteria; Pseudomonadales; Pseudomonadaceae
Description: partial 16S ribosomal RNA
Source: RNAcentral